AAACACACUAUCCUAUUACAGUGCUUGGAAAUAACCGCCCUAACGGCGUUUCGCUUCGAAGAGCUGUUAAGCCCCCUGACAUUCCAACAACACACACCUAUCAUAUUAAAAACCUAAAGACACCUGAAACCCACCACCCAAAAUGGUGCCCUAACCUCCUGCGAGGACCCCCCGUCUACGCACGCCGCGCCAGAAACUCCUCGAAAUUCCUCGCCUCGGCU
This 221-nucleotide long non-coding RNA is filed under the name Ananas comosus (pineapple). RNAcentral describes it as "long non-coding RNA (ACOM_LNC043028)". The record is from RNAcentral. Lineage: Eukaryota; Viridiplantae; Streptophyta; Magnoliopsida; Poales; Bromeliaceae.